Molecule: ribosomal RNA, 460 nt
Filed under: uncultured bacterium
Lineage: Bacteria
Description: partial 16S ribosomal RNA
Rfam family: Bacterial small subunit ribosomal RNA
Source: RNAcentral
CCUACGGGAGGCAGCAGUGAGGAAUAUUGGUCAAUGGGCGAGAGCCUGAACCAGCCAAGUCGCGUGAAGGAUGACGGCCCUCUGGGUUGUAAACUUCUUUUGUCAGGGAGCAAUUCAGUCCACGUGAGGGCUUAGCGAGAGUACCUGAAGAACAAGCAUCGGCUAACUCCGUGCCAGCAGCCGCGGUCAUACGGAGGAUGCGAGCGGUCUCUGGAUUUAUUGGGUUAAAAGGGUGCGUAGGCGGAAUAUCAGGUCAGCGGUAAAAAUUCGGGGCCCAACCACGACGUGCCGUGGAAACUGAUGGGCUUGAGAGGGCGAGAGGGAGGCGGAAUGCGGGGUGUAGCGGUAAAAUGCAUAGAUAUAAGGAAGAACACCGAUUGCGAAGGCGGCAGACCGGCGUCUAACUGACGCUGAGGCACGAAAGCGUGGGUAUCGAAUAGGAUUAGAUACCCUUGUAGUC